Molecule: ribosomal RNA, 279 nt
Filed under: uncultured bacterium
Lineage: Bacteria
Description: partial 16S ribosomal RNA
Rfam family: Bacterial small subunit ribosomal RNA
Source: RNAcentral
UGCCAGCAGCCGCGGUAAUACGAGUGCCCCGAGCGUUAUCCGGAAUUAUUGGGCGUAAAGGGUCCGUAGGCGGUUUUAUUAGUCUUUUGUUAAAGCUCCCGGCUUAACUGGGAAAAAGCGAGAGAAACGGUAAGACUAGAGUGUGUGUGGGGUGUACGGAACUCACAGUGUAGGGGUGGAAUCCGUUGAUAUUGUGGGGAACACCAAAAGCGAGGGCAGUACACUAACACAUUUCUGACGCUAAGGGACGAAAGCGUGGGUCGCGAAUGGGAUUAGAUA